Molecule: non-coding RNA, 109 nt
Organism: Pelobates cultripes (western spadefoot toad)
Lineage: Eukaryota; Metazoa; Chordata; Amphibia; Anura; Pelobatidae
Source: the annotation of a GenBank genome assembly
GUGUGUGUGUGUGUGUAGUGUGUGUAUAUAAUGCAGUGUGUUUGUGUAGUGUGUUUCUAUAAUGCUCACUACACAAACACACUGCAUUAUAUACACACUAUACAAACAC